Molecule: ribosomal RNA, 496 nt
Filed under: uncultured bacterium
Lineage: Bacteria
Description: partial 16S ribosomal RNA
Rfam family: Bacterial small subunit ribosomal RNA
Source: RNAcentral
AUGAACGCUGGCGGCGUGCCUAAUACAUGCCAGUCGAGCGAACGGACGAGAAGCUUGCUUCUCUGAUGUUAGCGGCGGACGGGUGAGUAACACGUGGAUAACCUACCUAUAAGACUGGGAUAACUUCGGGAAACCGUAGCUAAUACCGGAUAAUAUUUUGAACCGCAUGGUUCAAAAGUGAAAGACGGUCCUGCUGUCACUUAUAGAUGGAUCCGCGCUGCAUUAGCUAGUUGGUAAGGUAACGGCUUACCAAGGCAACGAUGCAUAGCCGACCUGAGAGGGUGAUCGGCCACACUGGAACUGAGACACGGUCCAGACUCCUACGGGAGGCAGCAGUAGGGAAUCUUCCGCAAUGGGCGAAAGCCUGACGGAGCAACGCCGCGUGAGUGAUGAAGGUCUUCGGAUCGUAAAACUCUGUUAUUAGGGAAGAACAUAUGUGUAAGUAACUGUGCACAUCUUGACGGUACCUAAUCAGAAAGCCACGGCUAACUACGUG